GACGAACGCUGGCGGCACGCUUAACACAUGCAAGUCGAACGGAGUUAAUUGGAGCUUGCUUUGAUUAACUUAUUGGCGGACGGGUGAGUAACACGUUAGCAACCUGCCUUUAAGAGAGGAAUAACAGUCUGAAACGACUGCUAAUACCUCAUAACAUAAUGAAGCCGCAUGACUUUGCUAUCAAAGAUUUAUCGCUUAAAGAUGGGCUCGCGUCUGAUUAGCUUGUUGGUGAGGUGACGGCGCACCAAGGCGACGAUCAUUAGCCGUACUGAGAGGUAGAUCGGCCACAAUGGGACUGAGACACGGCCCAGACUCCUACGGGAGGCAGCAGUGGGGAAUAUUGCACAAUGGAGGAAACUCUGAUGCAGCGAUGCCGCGUGAGGGAAGAAGGUUUUGGGAUUGUAAACCUCUGUCUUCAGGGACGAUAACGACGGUACCUGAGGAGGAAGCUCCGGCUAACUACGUGCCAGCCGCCGCCGUAA
RNAcentral lists this ribosomal RNA (482 nucleotides) under uncultured bacterium. Its description in RNAcentral is "partial 16S ribosomal RNA". It matches the Rfam family "Bacterial small subunit ribosomal RNA", at positions 28 to 523 of the family's 1533-position model. The record is from RNAcentral.